GAGGAAUAAGCAUCGGCUAACUCCGUGCCAGCAGCCGCGGUAAUACGGGGGAUGCAAGCGUUAUCCGGAAUCAUUGGGCGUAAAGCGCCUGUAGGUUGUUUAAUAAGUCUGUUGUUAAAGACUGGGGCUUAACCCCAGGAAAGCAAUGGAAACUACUAGACUAGAGUAUGGUAGGGGUAAAGGGAAUUUCUAGUGUAGCGGUGAAAUGCGUAGAUAUUAGAAAGAACACCGGUGGCGAAAGCGCUUUACUGGACCAUUACUGACACUCAGAGGCGAAAGCUAGGGUAGCCAAAGGGAUUAGAUACCCCUGUAGUCCUAGCCGUAAACGAUGGAUACUAGAUGUUGCGCUUAUUGUGCAGUGUCGUAGCUAACGCGUUAAGUAUCCCGCCUGGGGAGUACGAUCGCAAGGUUGAAACUCAAAGGAAUUGACGGGGGCCCGCACAAGCGGUGGAGCAUGUGGUUUAAUUCGAUGCAACGCGAAGAACCUUACCAGGGCUUGACAUACUGCAAAUUUUCUUGAAAGAGAAAAGUGCCUUCGGGAAUGCAGAUACAGGUGGUGCAUGGCUGUCGUCAGCUCGUGUCGUGAGAUGUUGGGUUAAGUCCCGCAACGAGCGCAACCCUCGUUUUUAGUUGCCAUUUUAUGGGUUCUCUAGAAAGACUGCCGGUGACAAACCGGAGGAAGGUGGGGAUGACGUCAAGUCAGCAUGCCCCUUAUGCCCUGGGCUACACACGUGCUACAAUGGCUAAGACAAAGAGUCGCGAAUUCGCGAGAAUCAGCUAAUCUCAUAAACUUAGUCUAAGUUCAGAUUGUAGGCUGCAACUCGCCUACGUGAAG
RNAcentral lists this ribosomal RNA (835 nucleotides) under Haptophyta environmental samples. RNAcentral's name for it is "bacterial SSU rRNA". It matches the Rfam family "Bacterial small subunit ribosomal RNA", at positions 481 to 1325 of the family's 1533-position model. Lineage: Eukaryota; Haptophyta. The record is from RNAcentral.